Molecule: ribosomal RNA, 253 nt
Filed under: uncultured bacterium
Lineage: Bacteria
Description: partial 16S ribosomal RNA
Rfam family: Bacterial small subunit ribosomal RNA
Source: RNAcentral
UACGUAGGGGGCAAGCGUUGUCCGGAAUCAUUGGGCGUAAAGCGCGUGUAGGCGGCCAGAAAAGUCCGCUGUGAAAACUCGAGGCUCAACUUCGAGCUGUCGGUGGAAACUUUCUGGCUAGAGUCCGGAAGAGGAGAAUGGAAUUCCUGGUGUAGCGGUGAAAUGCGCAGAUAUCAGGAGGAACACCGGCGGUGUAGACGGCUUUCUGGACCGUAGCUGACGCUGAGACACGAAAGCGUGGGUAGCAAACAGG